Molecule: ribosomal RNA, 301 nt
Filed under: uncultured bacterium
Lineage: Bacteria
Description: partial 16S ribosomal RNA
Rfam family: Bacterial small subunit ribosomal RNA
Source: RNAcentral
CAGUCGCCACGGUAAUACGAAGGGUGCAAGCGUUACUCGGAAUUACUGGGCAUAAAGCGUGCGUAGGUGGUUGUGUAAGACAGGUGUGAAAUCCCCGGGCUUAACCUGGGAACUGCAUCUGUGACUGCAUCGCUGGAGUGCGGCAGAGGGGUAUGGAAUUCCGCGUGUAGCAGUGAAACGCGUAGAUAUGCGGAGGAACACCGAUGGCGAAGGCAAUCCCCUGGGCCUGCACUGACGCUCAUGCACGAAAGCGUGGGGAGCAAACAGGAUUAGAUACCCGGGUAGUCCCUGUCUCUUAUAC